CCUCUCCACUCAAGCAAUGGGUGUUUUUCAUGAACUUUCACAAAUCCAUCAUGCUGUCACUGAGGUGUUUCCCAAAAAUGUAGG
Molecule: long non-coding RNA, 84 nt
Organism: Ochotona curzoniae (black-lipped pika)
Lineage: Eukaryota; Metazoa; Chordata; Mammalia; Lagomorpha; Ochotonidae
Exons: 3
Source: RefSeq, a predicted model, not a curated record